Molecule: ribosomal RNA, 254 nt
Filed under: uncultured bacterium
Lineage: Bacteria
Description: partial 16S ribosomal RNA
Rfam family: Bacterial small subunit ribosomal RNA
Source: RNAcentral
UACGAAGGGGGCUAGCGUUGCUCGGAAUCACUGGGCGUAAAGGGUGCGUAGGCGGGUCUUUAAGUCAGGGGUGAAAUCCUGGAGCUCAACUCCAGAACUGCCUUUGAUACUGAGGAUCUUGAGUAUGGGAGAGGUGAGUGGAACUGCGAGUGUAGAGGUGAAAUUCGUAGAUAUUCGCAAGAACACCAGUGGCGAAGGCGGCUCACUGGCCCAUUACUGACGCUGAGGCACGAAAGCGUGGGGAGCAAAGCAGG